CUAAAUAACUGUCAUCUUCACCAUUACAUCAGUACUACAACUACCAUCAUCAUUACUACUACUACCAUCAUCAUCAUUACUACUACUACUACCAUCAACAUUACUACUACAACUACCAUCAUCAUCAUUACUACUACAACUACUACCAUCAUCAUUACCAUUACUACAACUACUACCAUCAUCAUUACUACUACAACUACUACCAUCAUCAUUACUACUACUACAACUACCAUCAUCAUUACUACUACAACUACCAUCAUCAUUACUACUACUACAACUACCAUCAUCAUUACUACUACUACAACUACCAUCAUCAUUACUACUACUACUACCAUCAUCAUUACUACUACUACUACCAUCAUCAUCAUUACUACUACUACUACCAUCAUCAUUACUACUACAACUACCAUCAUCAUCAUUACUACUACAACUACCAUCAUCAUCAUUACCAUUACUACAACUACUACCAUCAUCAUUACUACUACAACUACCAUCAUCAUUACUACUACUACAACUACCAUCAUCAUUACUACUACCAUCAUCAUUACUACUACAACUACCAUCAUCAUCAUUACUACUACAACUACCAUCAUCAUUACUACUACUACUACCAUCAUCAUUACUACUACAACUACCAUCAUCAUCAUUACUACUACAACUACCAUCAUCAUCAUUACCACUACUACAACUACCAUCAUCAUCAUUACUACUACAACUACCAUCAUCAUUACUACUACUACUACCAUCAUCAUUACUACUACAACUACCAUCAUCAUCAUUACUACUACAACUACCAUCAUCAUCAUUACCACUACUACUACUACCAUCAUAAUUACUACUACUACUACUACCAUCAUCAUUACUACUACUACAACUACCAUCAUCAUUACUACUACUACAACUACCAUCAUCAUCAUUACUACUACAACUACCAUCAUCAUCAUUACUACUACAACUACCAUCAUCAUCAUUACCACUACUACAACUACCAUCAUCAUUACUACUACUACUACCAUCAUCAUUACUACUACUACAACUACCAUCAUCAUCAUUACCACUACUACAACUACCAUCAUCAUUACUACUACUACUACCAUCAUCAUUACUACUACUACAACUACCAUCAUCAUUACUACUACUACAACUACCAUCAUCAUUACUACUACUACUACCAUCAUCAUUACUACUACAACUACCAUCAUCAUUACUACUACUACAACUACCAUCAUCAUUACUACUACUACUACCAUCAUCAUUACUACUACAACUACCAUCAUCAUCAUUACUACUACAACUACCAUCAUCAUCAUUACCACUACUACAACUACCAUCAUCAUUACUACUACAACUACCAUCAUCAUUACUACUACAACUACCAUCAUCAUUACUACUACAACUACCAUCAUCAUUACUACUACUACAACUACCAUCAUCAUUACUACUACAACUACUACCAUCAUCAUUACUACUACAACUACUACCAUCAUCAUUACUACUACUACUACCACCAUCAUCAUUACUACUACAACUACUACCAUCAUCAUUACUACUACUGCUACCACCAUCAUCAUUACUACUACUACUACCAUCAUCAUUACUACUACAACUACUACCAUCAUCAUUACUACUACAACUACUACCAUCAUCAUUACUACUACUGCUACCACCAUCAUCAUUACUACUACUACUACCAUCAUCAUUACUACUACAACUACUACCAUCAUCAUUACUACUACUGCUACCACCAUCAUCAUUACUACUACUACUACCAUCAUCAUUACUACUACAACUACUACCAUCAUCAUUACUACUACUACUACCAUCAUCAUUACUACUACUACUACCAUCAUCAUUACUACUACUACUACCAUCAUCAUUACUACUACUACUACCACCAUCAUUACUACUACUACUACCAUCAUCAUUACUACUACAACUACUACCAUCAUCAUUACUACUACUACUACCACCAUCAUCAUCACUACUACUACAACUACCAUCAUCAUUACUACAACUACAAUCAUCAUUACUACAACUACCAUCAUCAUUACUACUACCACCACCAUCACUAAACUGUUAUCACUACCAUUACCACUACUAUUUGGAAUGAUAAACAACAAUAAUAAUACCAAUAAUAGUAAUAAUAAGUAA
RNAcentral lists this long non-coding RNA (2151 nucleotides) under Oncorhynchus mykiss (rainbow trout). Its description in RNAcentral is "lncRNA (ENSOMYG00000076520.1)". The record is from RNAcentral. Lineage: Eukaryota; Metazoa; Chordata; Actinopteri; Salmoniformes; Salmonidae.